Molecule: long non-coding RNA, 446 nt
Filed under: Brachypodium distachyon (stiff brome)
Lineage: Eukaryota; Viridiplantae; Streptophyta; Magnoliopsida; Poales; Poaceae
Description: long non-coding RNA (BDIS_LNC001244)
Source: RNAcentral
GAUGCGCACGAGCGGGUGGAGGUGACCAAGAGCGGCGGCGGGCGCGGGCGAGAUCCGGAUCGGGCAGGGGGUGGGGGUGAGAUUCGUAAGAGAGGAGGAGGAGCGUGGAGGACUUUGUUGUUUUUUUCUUUUUUGGGUAGUACGUGUUUUUUCUGCGCUUGAGGACCACAGGAACCGGGAUUAAAAGGCGCGUGGGGACAGCGGUGACAGAUUCGUAAUUUCGGUGAAAUGACGUACCGCGACGACCGUACCAUCAACACCAACUCCAAUUUAAUAUAUCGGUAUAGAUAAUUAACUAUUAAUAUUACUACAUCCAAUCCUUAAAAAGUGUCGGUCAUGUUGUACUAAGUUAGUACAAAUUUUGUACUAUAGAUCAUAAGGAGUACUAUAUAUAAUCAAAUCUAGUUUUUAUUCUCUAUUUUGUAAUAAUUGAUACCAAUUACCCA